CUCUUGGUUCCUCGCAAUGAUGUUCGGUUUAUUAGGUCAGGUUCGGAAGAAAGCAGCCGGAGUCGAGAUUUUCGUGUGCCGAGAUCAAGCUGGG
RNAcentral lists this signal recognition particle RNA (94 nucleotides) under [Mannheimia] succiniciproducens MBEL55E. RNAcentral describes it as "Mannheimia succiniciproducens MBEL55E Bacterial small signal recognition particle RNA". It matches the Rfam family "Bacterial small signal recognition particle RNA". Rfam says of the family: The signal recognition particle (SRP) is a universally conserved ribonucleoprotein involved in the co-translational targeting of proteins to membranes. Archaeal SRP consists of a 7S RNA and homologues of the eukaryotic SRP19 and SRP54 proteins. Lineage: Bacteria; Pseudomonadati; Pseudomonadota; Gammaproteobacteria; Pasteurellales; Pasteurellaceae. The record is from Rfam by way of RNAcentral. RNAcentral also lists the same sequence under 1 other name.